UGCAGUCGAACGGCAGCACAAGGGAGCUUGCUCCCUGGGUGGCGAGUGGCGGACGGGUGAGGAAUACAUCGGAAUCUGCCCAGUCGUGGGGGAUAACUUAGGGAAACUUAAGCUAAUACCGCAUACGACCUUCGGGUGAAAGAGGGGGAUCGCAAGACCUCUCGCGAUUGGAUGAGCCGAUGUCGGAUUAGCUUGUUGGCGGGGUAACGGCCCACCAAGGCGACGAUCCGUAGCUGGUCUGAGAGGAUGAUCAGCCACACUGGAACUGAGACACGGUCCAGACUCCUACGGGAGGCAGCAGUGGGGAAUAUUGGACAAUGGGCGCAAGCCUGAUCCAGCCAUGCCGCGUGAGUGAAGAAGGCCCUCGGGUUGUAAAGCUCUUUUGUCCGGAAAGAAAAGCACUCGGCCAAUACCCGGGUGUCCUGACGGUACCGGAAGAAUAAGCACCGGCUAACUUCGUGCC
This 463-nucleotide ribosomal RNA is filed under the name activated sludge bacterium KC24. RNAcentral describes it as "bacterial SSU rRNA". It matches the Rfam family "Bacterial small subunit ribosomal RNA", at positions 56 to 509 of the family's 1533-position model. The record is from RNAcentral.